This is a long non-coding RNA of Etheostoma cragini (Arkansas darter), 1012 nucleotides long. RefSeq lists it as uncharacterized. NCBI's taxonomy places the organism in Eukaryota, Metazoa, Chordata, Actinopteri, Perciformes, Percidae. The transcript is spliced from 2 exons. The record is from RefSeq and is a predicted model, not a curated record.
ACGUGGCUACGGAGGAGAGGAUCUACUACUACGUCCAGCCCUGCUCUCGUUCCCCAUCAGGCAUGACAGGACCUGGAAACCAGGGUGGAGCUCGUGCUGCAGGGUCGGUUGGUUUGUUGCUGCUGGCGUUGGCGAUCGCCGGAUUGACCGUAAAGUAGACGAUGUGCCAAGUUUGUGUCGUCAAACUCAGAGACCGUCUGAGACGCUGCUGUUCGUGGUUCAGGUUUUACUUUCACACAUGGUACUGUGCUUUCGCUUGCUGCCCUCUGCACUUUAUUAUAAGCCAUAUAUACUCACAUAGACCAUACUGUAGAUAGAUAGAUUUCCUUUUGAGAAAUGUUCCUCACUGCCUCAGCAUGCAGUGCCUUGCAGACAGUGUUACUUAUUAUGAAAUGUGUAUUUAUACUUUUAUAUGAAGCUAUUGUUAUUUAUCCACUGUCUUCCACUGCAGCAGCUUAGCUAGGUUUAAGUCUCCUCUUCUUAAUCCUUUACAUGCAAUUUGUACGUGAGGGCUUGUAGGAAAUUUAGAGAAACGUAUUAUGCAAAGAACAUAUUAACAUUUCACGGGUGCUUCUCUCAGGGCUGUGUUUACUAAGAAAAGUACAGACAUGCAGUUUGUAUUCACACUUAUUCUGCAAAUCAAGACAAUUUUUCUAGUAUAAUUAAGCGGGGACAACCCAUCUAAUGUUCCUCACAUUACAAAUGCAUUCAUACAAAUACUAAUACUAAUUGUUUACAUCGGUGCUGGAGCGUUCUCAAUCAAACAUCUUAGUAAAUACAGCCCCGGAUGUCUCACUCACACCAGAUCUACACCAACAAAGCUUUAGCUAGUUGACCAGCAAACACAGAAACACCUUAGUACAGUUUUUUCAAAAGAUUAUAAGCCUCCAAAAAAAACCUUUUGGUUACUUUUAGUGAAACUACUAUCUUAGUUUAAGAGUCCUAGAACUGAAGAAUACUUUGCACAUGUAAUUCACGAGAGAGGUGCAUAUGUAGAAGGGGAUAAAUGGAU